AUACGGAGGGUGCAAGCGUUAAUCGGAAUUACUGGGCGUAAAGCGCGCGUAGGCGGUUAUUUAAGUCAGAUGUGAAAGCCCCGGGCUUAACCUGGGAAUGGCAUUUGAGACUGGAUGGCUAGAGUAUGGUAGAGGUGAGUGGAAUUUCAGGUGUAGCGGUGAAAUGCGUAGAGAUCUGAAGGAACAUCAGUGGCGAAGGCGACUCACUGGGCCAUUACUGACGCUGAGGUGCGAAAGCGUGGGUAGCAAACAGGAUUAGAUACCCUGGUAGUCCACGCCCUAAACGAUGUCAACUAGGUGUAUGGAGAAUUUAUUCUUUGUGUAUCGAAGCUAACGCGAUAAGUUGACCGCCUGGGGAGUACGGUCGCAAGACUGAA
Molecule: ribosomal RNA, 377 nt
Filed under: uncultured bacterium
Lineage: Bacteria
Description: bacterial SSU rRNA
Rfam family: Bacterial small subunit ribosomal RNA
Source: RNAcentral